RNAcentral lists this long non-coding RNA (1742 nucleotides) under Sus scrofa (pig). RNAcentral describes it as "lncRNA (ENSSSCG00040073094.1)". The record is from RNAcentral. Lineage: Eukaryota; Metazoa; Chordata; Mammalia; Artiodactyla; Suidae.
CUCGCCGGGAAUUCAGAAACCUGUUUGAGCCGUUUCUGUAGGGCUGAACCUUGUUAUUUAGUAAAUAUUUAUUUAGCUCUCUGAGGACUCAGAACUAAUCACUGUCACUUCUCUUUAAUAAUAAAUGGUGAACUUCAAACGCGGCAGAACUCCACCGACUAAUCAGUGCUCUCCGGGAGGUGCAAAACUGCAAUCCGCCAGCGGACAUGAAAGACUGAACAUUUCCUGUUCCCACUCGCGGUGGCCCAGAAUAAACUUAAACCAAGUGAGAGAUGUUGAUGGCGGCCGCCCCCACCGCGCGCCGACCCUGGGAGCCAGGAAUCCAUCUGCCCGCGGCCGAGCGCGCCGCCCCUUCCCCUUUCGCCCCAGGGACCCUCAAAGCCCGCUGCUCUGCUGCUCCACAAUCUGGGCUGCUGCUUCCUUGGGCUUUUAAGGUUGUCUUUUAAAUUCGCUAUUCAGGUGCAAACCAAUUAGCCCUUUCCUUGUUCCCGAGCGAGCGGUGGAGAGCGCCCGGCGCCCCCUCGCCGACGGAAACUCGCGGGCUCCGCGCAGUGGGCUCCUUCCUCGCCGCCGCUCGCUGGCUGUCAAAGAGGUCAGCGCGCCGGGUGGCAUUGACGCCAGCCUUCCAGAAUUUGGUUCUCAAAGUCUUUUUUUAUUUACUAGGAAAGGUGUGAAAAAAGAUUGGAAGCACUUGGGCUCACUGAAAGAACGAAGAGGGUGUUUUCAGUGAUGAGCUUGGAGUGCCCCUCUGUGGAAUAACGUUCCCAGGCUAGGGGUCACAUUGGAGCUGUAGCUGCUGGCCUAUGCCAUAGCCACAGCAACAUGGGAUCUGAGCCACGUCUGCAACCUACACCACAGCUCGCGGCAAUGCCAGAUCUUUAACCCACUGAGUAAGGCCAGGGAUCAAACCUGCGUCCUCGUGGAUACUAGUCGGAUUCUCAGAUUCCCAGGGGGAAAAAGCAGUGCAAAUAAAUGAGGAUCACACAAUCAUCGCCACCAGCUCAGGGCCUCUCUGGGGUUGGAUUUAGUGAUGCAUCUCCUUGGACUCAUGCGGCAUGGAGAAGCUUGAACUGAGAUUCUUGGAAAAGGCAGAGAGGUCAAGAGGAAGAAAGGAAAUCCAGGAAGAAGAGACUCCAAGGUUUCAAUUGGAGACAAAUUCCAUCUACACAUUCUACAAAGAGCCCCUAUAAGAACUGUUAAGACCCUGAGAUGCUCGUGUGUCCGUGAUCUGGCCUCAAAUAAGAAGAAGUUCUUUCUGGUUCUGGACCAGCACACCCACCCUGAUGCUGAGGAGCAUAAGAGCAAGUUUAGAGGUCAGUGAUGGAGUAUUCAUUUUAGGAAAGAUAAUGGAGACAAUAUCAAAACUGCAAAUGGAGUACUGUAUCAGAGUUUAAGUAGCAACUUGAUACAACACAACAGAUGGAGCUAAAACUGAUGUAUGCAACCUAAAAACUGGCAUUUCUCCAAAUAUAAUCUUUAAUUAAUUAACACAGGAGAAAAGUUUCAUUUUAUUGUCUGACAUAUCAAAACAAUUCAAUAAAGUAAAAACAAGAUGCCAUUCAUAAUUCUAGUGCAACUUGUGGAGCAUUCAGACAUUGAAAUUGUCAUUAAUUACUAAGUUAGAGUAAGGCCUAUUCAUUAGAAGUCACAUGAUUAUAUUAUUCAAGGUUAAAUUAGAUUUACACCUUUAUGUGCAGGUACAUUAGUAAAAACAACAUAUAUAAAAUAAUACAGAGGAAAUC